Molecule: long non-coding RNA, 711 nt
Organism: Coturnix japonica (Japanese quail)
Lineage: Eukaryota; Metazoa; Chordata; Aves; Galliformes; Phasianidae
Source: RefSeq, a predicted model, not a curated record
CGGCCCCACAGCCUCUCCCUCACCGCAGCACAAGGCGGCCGCCGCUCCGCCUCCUGCUUGCCACCGUCCCUUCAGCGCCCGUGGGAUCGCUCCGCUGUUCUAGGGCCGACCGAGCCGCCUGCGAGCAAUGCGAGGGGCUGGAGAGGGCCAGGCGUAGUUCUGCGCCCUCUCGCUGUGCCUGAAACUCGGCAGCGACCGCCCUUCCCAGCGAGGGAGGGAGGGAGGAGUGUUGCGGCCUCGGGGCUGUUUGGAAACAGGAGGAGAGAGGCUGCGGCGCCUGAGGGAGCCGUGGGACCGAAGGGGUGACGGUCCGAGAAGAGCGGAGAACCGGAUCAGAACGACCUUGGAGGAGGUCUCCGAGUGAAAAAGUGGGAAAGAAAGGUGGUUUGGGGAAGAGCUUUCAUCAUAUGCAAUCACCUUUCAUCUUGUUCCUCCUUGGCAGGAGGGCAGGGAAGCUGUGUGGUGCUGAGGCGCGGCCCAGCUCGUGACAGGCUGGAAAAGCCGUGGGUGCCAUGAGAAAGUAUCUCUAAAGACUAAAGCAAUACCAGUCAUGUUUGAAGAUAUUCGACUCAUGGAGAUGAUUAAUGAAGUAAGAAAUGACACAUGAUAGAUUGCUUGUAUGUUUUUACAGAGCAAAAUAUUUGAUGACUGGAUGUUCAAUAAUUGACCAACAGUCAUUCAACUGAAACAAAUAAAAAAUGUUUUCUAAUA